GGUAAGAUGACUGAAUAUUAGGUGAUAGACUGUAAAUCUAUUUAUGGGGUUAAUCUUCUCUUACCA
Molecule: transfer RNA, 66 nt
Filed under: Lentula callani
Lineage: Eukaryota; Metazoa; Arthropoda; Insecta; Orthoptera; Lentulidae
Description: tRNA-Tyr
Rfam family: tRNA
About the family: Transfer RNA (tRNA) molecules are approximately 80 nucleotides in length.
Source: RNAcentral